UCCGGUUUGUCACCGGCAGUCUCAUUAGAGUGCCCAACUAAAUGUAGCAACUAAUGACAAGGGUUGCGCUCGUUGCGGGACUUAACCCAACAUCUCUGCAGGAUUCCGUACAUGUCAAGGGUAGGUAAGGUUUUUCGCGUUGCGUCGAAUUAAACCACAUCAUCCACCGCUUGUGCGGGCCCCCGUCAAUUCCUUUGAGUUUUAAUCUUGCGACCGUACUCCCCAGGCGGAUGACUUCACGCGUUAGCUGCGUUACUAAGGGAUUUAACUCCCCCAACAACUAGUCAUCAUCGUUUAGGGCGUGGACUAC
This 310-nucleotide unclassified non-coding RNA is filed under the name uncultured Gammaproteobacteria bacterium. RNAcentral's name for it is "contains 16S-23S intergenic spacer region". Lineage: Bacteria; Pseudomonadati; Pseudomonadota; Gammaproteobacteria. The record is from RNAcentral.